UACGUAGGUGGCAAGCGUUGUCCGGAAUUAUUGGGCGUAAAGCGCGCGCAGGCGGCCUCUUAAGUCUGAUGUGAAAGCCCCCGGCUCAACCGGGGAGGGCCAUUGGAAACUGGGAGGCUUGAGUAUAGGAGAGAAGAGUGGAAUUCCACGUGUAGCGGUGAAAUGCGUAGAGAUGUGGAGGAACACCAGUGGCGAAGGCGACUCUUUGGCCUAUAACUGACGCUGAGGCGCGAAAGC
This 237-nucleotide ribosomal RNA is filed under the name uncultured bacterium. Its description in RNAcentral is "partial 16S ribosomal RNA". It matches the Rfam family "Bacterial small subunit ribosomal RNA", at positions 524 to 760 of the family's 1533-position model. The record is from RNAcentral.